Molecule: transfer RNA, 72 nt
Filed under: Pseudomonadota bacterium
Lineage: Bacteria; Pseudomonadati; Pseudomonadota
Also listed under: 2 other names
Description: tRNA-Lys
Rfam family: tRNA
About the family: Transfer RNA (tRNA) molecules are approximately 80 nucleotides in length. Their secondary structure includes four short double-helical elements and three loops (D, anti-codon, and T loops).
Source: RNAcentral
GGCCCGCUAGCUCAGAGGGAGAGCACCUGCCUUUUAAGCAGGGAGUCGCUGGUUCGAGUCCAGCGCGGGUCA